CACUUUCAAUUGAUGAGCUAUGAAGAGGAACCAGAGCCCUUUAGUGAUGCCCUACAGUUGGAGGAUACAACCAAGUGGGAGCAAGCCAUGGAUGAUGAGAUGAGUUGAAUGUCUAGGCUU
Molecule: long non-coding RNA, 120 nt
Organism: Cucurbita moschata (crookneck pumpkin)
Lineage: Eukaryota; Viridiplantae; Streptophyta; Magnoliopsida; Cucurbitales; Cucurbitaceae
Exons: 3
Source: RefSeq, a predicted model, not a curated record